GACGAACGCUGGCGGCGUGCUUAACACAUGCAAGUCGAACGGAAAGGCCUUUUCGGAGGUACUCGAGUGGCGAACGGGUGAGUAACACGUGGGUGAGCUGCCCUGCACUCUGGGAGAAGCCUGGGAAACUGGGUCGAAUACCGGAUAGGACCGCACUUUAGUGUGUGUGGUGGAAAGUGUUUUCUGUGUAGGAUGAGACCGCGGCCUAUGAGCUUGUUGGUGGGGUAAUGGCCUAGCAAGGCGGCGACGGGUAGCCGGACUGAGAGGUUGGGCGGCCACAAUGGGACUGAGGUACGGGCCAGACUCCUACGGGGGGCAGCCGUGGGGAAUAUUGCACAAUGGGCGCGAGCCUGAUGCAGCGACGCCGCGUGGGGGAUGACGGCCUUCGGGUUGUAAACUCCUUUCGCCAGGGACGAAGCGUUUUGUGACGGUAACUGGAGAAGAAGCACCGGCUAACUACGUG
Molecule: ribosomal RNA, 463 nt
Filed under: uncultured bacterium
Lineage: Bacteria
Description: partial 16S ribosomal RNA
Rfam family: Bacterial small subunit ribosomal RNA
Source: RNAcentral